UCCUGCACAAAAUGCUCACUAAUAAGGAAA
RNAcentral lists this non-coding RNA (30 nucleotides) under Mus musculus (house mouse). The record is from RNAcentral. Lineage: Eukaryota; Metazoa; Chordata; Mammalia; Rodentia; Muridae.